This 446-nucleotide ribosomal RNA is filed under the name uncultured soil bacterium. Its description in RNAcentral is "bacterial SSU rRNA". It matches the Rfam family "Bacterial small subunit ribosomal RNA", at positions 26 to 465 of the family's 1533-position model. The record is from RNAcentral.
AGAUUGAACGCUGGCGGCAUGCCUAACACAUGCAAGUCGAACGGGAGUAGCAAUACUCUAGUGGCGGACGGGUGAGGAAUACGUAGGAAUUUGCCCUUAAGUGGGGGAUAACCCGGGGAAACCCGGAUUAAUACCGCAUGACCUCGAAAGAGCAAAGUGGGGGAUCGCAAGACCUCACGCUUUUGGAGAAGCCUACGUCGGAUUAGCUAGUUGGUGAGGUAAUGGCUCACCAAGGCGUACGAUCCGUAACUGGUCUGAGAGGAUGAUCAGUCACACCGGAACUGAGACACGGUCCGGACUCCGUACGGAGGCAGCCGAGUGGGGGAAUAGUUGGACAAGUGGGGACGCAAAGCCCUGGACUCCAGCCAAUGACCGCGUGUGUGAAGAAGGCCGUUACGGUAGUAAGCUAACGUUUAAGUUGGGAAAGAAAAACUCGACGUCUAAAC